This 1461-nucleotide long non-coding RNA is filed under the name Macaca fascicularis (crab-eating macaque). RNAcentral describes it as "lncRNA (ENSMFAG00000048351.1)". The record is from RNAcentral. Lineage: Eukaryota; Metazoa; Chordata; Mammalia; Primates; Cercopithecidae.
UUUUUUUUUUUUUUUUUUUUGUAGAAAGUGGCUUAGCAAAAGAAAGGAUAAAGUCUUUCCUUGUCCGUUUUUGAAUUAUUUCUUAACAGUGUCUUCCUCAGCUGACUGUAAAAUGCUGAAUUAUACCUAAGUAUUUAUUGACAAUGUCUAUUUAUCCUCUUUUCAUUCAUAUUGUACUGCACAUAAUAUAUUUGUUAUAUAACAAGUGGGUACUAAAUUUGAAAUUAAUUUGUUGGCCUCUGAUUUAGUCUUUUAUAAAAUUGUGAUAUAGAAUCUCUAAAUGUUUCACAUCUAAAAUUGAUCUCUCUCUUUUAUGUUGUCUAAUAAGACCUGGGCUAAUCUGCUGAAUGUCUGCUGUGAGGUAGGCACUGUGAUAGGCACACUGUAGAUGUUCUGUGUGUUAGAGAUGAGGAACCAGAGUCUGGAGCGGUGAAUCAAGUACUUUUUAGGUGCAGUGCAGGAGGGUAAACCCAGUUCUCUAAAUUGUCCUUUUUUUUUCCCUACUCUUUUCAUAUGUUUCUCUUCUUUGUAAUUAUAUGUGAGAAAUAUGUACUUUAAAAACUUAUGUAAUGUUCUCAAAUAUUAAAAAGACUUUCCUUUUAUUUUUAGUACAUUUUUAAUUCUUUUAAUUUCUUCACUAUUACUGUGAACAUUAGUCUCACUUUAUUAUUUUAAAGACAAUUGCAGCAAACAUUCCCUUUGGGGGUGUGUGUGUGUGUGUGUGUGUGUGUGUGUGUGUGUGUGUGUGUGUGUGUGUGUGUUCAGUAGACUUUAUUUUUUAGAGCGGUUAUGAGUUAACAGCAAAGUUGAGUGAGAAGUGCAGGGCAUUCACAUACACCCGCUGCUCCUAAACAUGCACAACCUCCCCCACUGUCAACAUCUUGCAUCAAAGUGGUACAUGUUCUACAAUGCAUAAUCCUAACCUGACGUGACAUUAUCACUCAGACUCAAUAGUUUAUGUUAGAUUUCACUUUCGGUGUUGUUCAUAUGUUUUUAUUUUCUAUAUUUUGUCUGUAAUUAUUCCAAAGUUUUAUGUUUCAAAGUUUUAAGGACACAAGAAACUUAGCACAAUAAUUUUGUUUUCUUUUGUUUUGUUUUUGUUUGGAAAUGAAGUCUCUCUCUGUCACCCAAAAUGGAGUGUAGUGGCAUCAUCUUGCCUCACUGCAACCUCUGCUUCCUGGCUUCAACAAUUCUGCUUCAGCCUCCUGAGGAGUAGUUUGACUACAGGAGCACUCCCCAACACCUCCCUAACAUUUUGUAUUUUUGGCAGAGACGGGGUUUUACUCUAUUGGUCAGGAUGUUAUUGAACUCCUGAGCUCAGGUGAUCCACCUGUCUCAACCUCUCAAAUUGGUGGAUUCACAGGUUUGAGUCGUGAUACCUACCCUUGAUCCCUUAAAGGAUUUUUUUUUAAGAUUGUAGUAGCUUAAUUUCCUUUUUUAAAGUGCUGCCUACUAUAACUG